Molecule: non-coding RNA, 93 nt
Filed under: Sporosarcina sp.
Lineage: Bacteria; Bacillati; Bacillota; Bacilli; Caryophanales; Caryophanaceae
Description: Glycine sequence
Rfam family: Glycine riboswitch aptamer
About the family: This family represents the bacterial glycine riboswitch. Glycine riboswitches usually consist of two metabolite-binding aptamers domains with similar structures in tandem.
Source: RNAcentral
AUGAUUGUAUGGGGAGAGCGCGCAUUAGGCGCCGCCGAAGGAGCAAGUAACAAAUGUUAUGAAUCUCUCAGGUAACAAAACGCAUACAUGACG